UGGGUGGUAUAUUUCAUCUAAAGCUAAAUAUUGGCCAAAGACCGAUAGCGCACAAGUAGAGUGAUCGAAAAAUGAAAAGCACUUUGGAAAGAGAGUUAAACAGUACGUGAAAUUGUUGAAAGGGAAGCGCUUGCAACCAGACUUGCGCGCCGUCGAUCAUCCUGGGUUCUCCCUGGUGCACUCGGCGGCGUUCAGGCCAGCAUCGGUUCUGGUGGUUGGAUAAAGGCCUUGGGAAUGUGGCUCCUCUCGGGGAGUGUUAUAGCCCUCGGUGCAAUGCAGCCUACCGGGACCGAGGACCGCGCUUCGGCUAGGAUGCUGGCGUAAUGGUUGUAAGCGACCCGUCUUGAAACACGGACC
This 357-nucleotide ribosomal RNA is filed under the name Hymenotorrendiella eucalypti. Its description in RNAcentral is "partial 28S ribosomal RNA". It matches the Rfam family "Eukaryotic large subunit ribosomal RNA", at positions 293 to 667 of the family's 3401-position model. Lineage: Eukaryota; Fungi; Ascomycota; Leotiomycetes; Helotiales; Helotiaceae. The record is from RNAcentral.